AUAUACUUAGAAAUCCAGACUCAUUCAUCUAGUUUCAUCAUUCUGCUGCCGUCGUUCCUCAUGGUGGGAGAGAGAGCUCUUCGUUCUUCCUCCGUUCACUGCCGCAAAGGAGACUGUUGGCGCCGUUGACACCUCUUUCGCCACCGCUGAUGCCUCUGACGCCACCAACGGAGGCACCCACCUUGACCGAACGCAAAUCUCUUCCUAUCCUCCCUUGCGCAACUGCUGUGGAAUGACCUCCGAAAUCCUGAGUCAUCGUUGCAUCACAGAUCGGGUUCGAUAUUUUUUUUCCUAAGUUAGUGUGGGUUUUCCUAAAAAAGCUUAUUGGCACAAAAAAAAAUCUCCACUGUAAUUAGCUUGAGAAUCCCCUCUGCAUUUCUUCCGCGAGCUCCAUGGCAGCAGCAUGAAUGGCAUCUGGCGAUGAAGAUUUAUCAGCAAGUUCCUGGCGUUCCAUAUCUUCCAGAUGAUCAUUGCUACAAUUGCUAUCUGCCCCAUUCAAUUUUGUUCAUAACCGAAAUUAUUUGUAAAUUAUCAACAGAUUUUCUUUGAAUCAACGAGUUCUAAUUUUUCAAAUUGGUUAUGGUUUGAAAUUGUGAGAGGAAGAGAACUUGGUCUACUAAUCGAUCGCAGUUGUC
RNAcentral lists this long non-coding RNA (635 nucleotides) under Arachis ipaensis. RNAcentral describes it as "long non-coding RNA (AIPA_LNC001191)". The record is from RNAcentral. Lineage: Eukaryota; Viridiplantae; Streptophyta; Magnoliopsida; Fabales; Fabaceae.